GAUGAACGCUAGCGGCAGGCCUAAUACAUGCAAGUCGAGGGGCAGCGCGGUAGCAAUACUGGCGGCGACCGGCGCACGGGUGCGUAACACGUAUGCAACCUACCUUCAACUGGAGGAUAGCCCGGGGAAACUCGGAUUAAUACUCCAUAACACAGGGAUCCCGCAUGGGAAUAUUGUUAAAGCUACGGCGGUUGAAGAUGGGCAUGCGUUCGAUUAGCUAGUUGGUGUAGGUAACGGCUCACCAAGGCGACGAUCAGUAGGGGAUCUGAGAGGACUAACCCCCCACACUGGUACUGAGACACGGACCAGACUCCUACGGGAGGCAGCAGUAAGGAAUAUUGGUCAAUGGAGGCAACUCUGAACCAGCCAUGCCGCGUGCAGGAUGACGGCCCUAUGGGUUGUAAACUGCUU
RNAcentral lists this ribosomal RNA (411 nucleotides) under uncultured bacterium. RNAcentral describes it as "bacterial SSU rRNA". It matches the Rfam family "Bacterial small subunit ribosomal RNA", at positions 28 to 435 of the family's 1533-position model. The record is from RNAcentral.